AGCCUAAAUGUGAAGUUGAGUCGAUUAGUAGGAUCAGCUGACCAUACUAAUCUACUCCACUUCACGUUUGGCCCC
Non-coding RNA from Haemonchus placei, 75 nucleotides. The record is from Rfam. NCBI's taxonomy places the organism in Eukaryota, Metazoa, Nematoda, Chromadorea, Rhabditida, Trichostrongylidae.